This 253-nucleotide ribosomal RNA is filed under the name uncultured bacterium. RNAcentral's name for it is "partial 16S ribosomal RNA". It matches the Rfam family "Bacterial small subunit ribosomal RNA", at positions 524 to 777 of the family's 1533-position model. The record is from RNAcentral.
GACAGAGGUGCCAAGCGUUAGGCGGAAUCACUGGGCUUAAAGCGUGUGUAGGCGGAAUGGUAAGUACCUUGUGAAAUCCCAUAGCUCAACUAUGGAACUGCUUGGUAUACUGCUUUUCUUGAGCCACUUAGGGGCUACCGGAACAAAUGGUGGAGCGGUGAAAUGCGUAGAUAUCAUUUGGAACGCCAAUGGUGAAAACAGGUAGCUGGGAGUGUGCUGACGUGAGACACGAAAGCCAGGGGAGCGAACGGGG